CAGCACCUCAAGUGGUCAGGAUGAUUAUUGGGCCUAAAGCAUCCGUAGCCUGCUUUGUUAGUUUUCGGUUAAAUCCAUACGCUCAACGUACAGGCUGCCGGGAAUACUGCAGCGCUAGGGAGUGGGAGAGGUAGACGGUACUCGGUAGGAAGGGGUAAAAUCCUUUGAUCUAUUGAUGACCACCUGUGGCGAAGGCGGUCUACCAGAACACGUCCGACGGUGAGGGAUGAAAGCUGGGGAGCAAACCGGAUUAGAGACCCGAGUAGUCC
RNAcentral lists this ribosomal RNA (269 nucleotides) under uncultured archaeon. Its description in RNAcentral is "partial 16S ribosomal RNA". It matches the Rfam family "Archaeal small subunit ribosomal RNA", at positions 477 to 747 of the family's 1478-position model. The record is from RNAcentral.